RNAcentral lists this ribosomal RNA (500 nucleotides) under uncultured bacterium. RNAcentral describes it as "partial 16S ribosomal RNA". It matches the Rfam family "Bacterial small subunit ribosomal RNA", at positions 30 to 523 of the family's 1533-position model. The record is from RNAcentral.
AUUGAACGCUGGCGGCAUGCCUUACACAUGCAAGUCGAACGGCAGCACGGGAGCAAUCCUGGUGGCGAGUGGCGAACGGGUGAGUAAAGUAUCGGAACGUGCCCAGUCGUGGGGGAUAACGUAGCGAAAGUUACGCUAAUACCGCAUACGAUCUAUGGAUGAAAGCGGGGGAUCGCAAGACCUCGCGCGAUUGGAGCGGCCGAUAUCAGAUUAGGUAGUUGGUGGGGUAAAGGCUCACCAAGCCGACGAUCUGUAGCUGGUCUGAGAGGACGACCAGCCACACUGGGACUGAGACACGGCCCAGACUCCUACGGGAGGCAGCAGUGGGGAAUUUUGGACAAUGGGCGAAAGCCUGAUCCAGCCAUGCCGCGUGCAGGAUGAAGGCCUUCGGGUUGUAAACUGCUUUUGUACGGGACGAAAAGGUUUGGCCUAAUAAGCUGAGCUCAUGACGGUACCGUAAGAAUAAGCACCGGCUAACUACGCGCCAGCAGCCGCGGUAA